GAUCCUUUCCCCCACACACCAAGCUCAUUUUAUGAUUUGAGAAAAGAUUGGAUUUGUUGUUGAAGUUGUUGAAGUUGUUAGUUGUUGUUGAUGUUGUUAGUUGUGUUGUGGAAGUUAUUGUUGGUUGUGGGACACGAUUUGGUUGUGUUCUUGAGCUGAAAGCUAUUGUAUAUUGAGGGAUUUUAUGAUCCUUAGUGUUGGUUGGUUCAUACCCCCACACACCAACUCGUUUUUAAUUCCAAGAAAAGAUCUAUUUUUGGUUGUUGAAGUUGUUGGUUGUGUUGUUGAAGUUCUUGCUGAUUUGGGACAGA
RNAcentral lists this long non-coding RNA (311 nucleotides) under Solanum tuberosum (potato). RNAcentral describes it as "long non-coding RNA (STUB_LNC011827)". Lineage: Eukaryota; Viridiplantae; Streptophyta; Magnoliopsida; Solanales; Solanaceae. The record is from RNAcentral.